This 248-nucleotide long non-coding RNA is filed under the name Brassica napus (rape). RNAcentral describes it as "long non-coding RNA (BNAP_LNC016053)". The record is from RNAcentral. Lineage: Eukaryota; Viridiplantae; Streptophyta; Magnoliopsida; Brassicales; Brassicaceae.
AGCAGCUACUCACAUGAUUUAAAAACUCAGUAUCAUCACCUCUACAAUGUUGCAGCCACUCAAAUCAAUAUCAACCUUAGAGAUACUGUAUAUGCAAUAUCCUAGCUUAGCAACCAAAUCCAUUCACUCAGCAACUUAACUAAUCAUGUCUGACUAACUCCUCUACUGACUUCAUUUCUUGCAUAAAAUAAAAGUGUAGGCUUUAUUAGGAGUAUCGAUCAAAAGACACAUGGACUCUUACUCAAACA